This is a non-coding RNA of Odocoileus virginianus texanus, 397 nucleotides long. NCBI's taxonomy places the organism in Eukaryota, Metazoa, Chordata, Mammalia, Artiodactyla, Cervidae. The record is from RefSeq and is a predicted model, not a curated record.
GGCAGUGCUGAGGUACACAGAAAGCACAUCAUGGGUCAGAACGUUGCAGAUUACAUGCGUUACCUGAUUGAAGAAGAUGAAGAUGCUUACAAGAAACAAUUCUCUCAGUACAUAAAGAACAACGUAACUCCAGACAUGAUGGAGGAGAUGUAUAAGAAAGCUCAUGCUGCAAUACGAGAGAAUCCAGUGUAUGAGAAGAAGCCUAAGAAAGAAGUUAAAAAGAAGAGGUGGAACCGUCCCAAAAUGUCACUUGCCCAGAAGAAAGCUCGGGUAGCUCAGAAGAAGGCAAGCUUCCUUAGAGCUCAGGAACGAGCUGCCGAGAGCUAAACCAAACCACAAUUUUCUAUCAAGAUUUUUCAGAUAAGACAAUAAUAAACUUAUUGAACAAGCAAAAAAA